This 246-nucleotide long non-coding RNA is filed under the name Amborella trichopoda. Its description in RNAcentral is "long non-coding RNA (ATRI_LNC001491)". The record is from RNAcentral. Lineage: Eukaryota; Viridiplantae; Streptophyta; Magnoliopsida; Amborellales; Amborellaceae.
UUUUAAUUAAAUAUAAUUAUAUAUUUUUAAUUAUAAUAUUUCAAAGAAAACUUCUAGAAACACCAAAAACGAACAUUAUUUGUCAUUGCAGUUUUGCCUACAAAAUCAUCCCAAGGUCGAUCCAUCGUGCUUGCGUUCUUCGCUUGAAAAAUCAACUGCACCGAAAAUGCUAUAUCCAUUGUAGUACUGUAACAAAUAUAGCAUGUCUGGUUCGAUUGAUUUAUCCAUGACAUCCGAAAAUAUCGG